RNAcentral lists this transfer RNA (61 nucleotides) under Mycosarcoma maydis (corn smut). RNAcentral describes it as "Ustilago maydis tRNA-Gln". Lineage: Eukaryota; Fungi; Basidiomycota; Ustilaginomycetes; Ustilaginales. The record is from RNAcentral.
UAGGAUGUCGUCUAAAGGAAAGACUUUCUUUUUUGGUGAGAAAAAUAGUUGUUCGAUUCAA